GCAAUUCUCCCUCAGCCUCCCGAGUAGCUAGGACUACAGCCAGCAAGGGAGACAGUGUCUAGAGGCAGUCAUCUAGCAAGAUGGAGACUUACAACAUGAGGCACAUACAAGAGUGACCUCCCAUCGUCUUUGAGGCAUUCUAUUUCUUGUGUCUUUGUGAAGCUUCCUAUCUUUGCUUUUCAACUAAGAUGAAACAGCAUUUAAAAGAAAAUGCCAUGUGAGAUGAGAUCAGGAGAAUGGAUUCUUUCUUUCAUCUGAAUAGAGAGCUGCUGUUCGAGAUUCUAACUCAAAUAGCUCAAAGGACACCUUCUCCGGGAAACCUUCCCUGACUUCCGACGCUGUUUCCUGUUUUGCAGGAAAGAAUACACAAGCUCAGAAUCUCUUGGGCUGAGUGACAAAGGAGGAAAAGGGAUGGUUCCAAGUAGGAUUGGAGCUUCUGCUUCCUCACUUCCUCACGUAGCUCCAUCUGCCUCUUCAGAGAGCUCCCAUCUCCCACUGUGUGCAGCUGAGUUCCAAGCACUCCUGGCGGCAUAAUGACUGGGACAAAGAUAUUUCCUGCAGUUGUCAAUGGUGCUCCUAUACUGAAACUCUCCUAGGAACUUGGCCAAAUCUUCCUGCUCCCCAUCCCUGAUUUCUGUGAACAAGAGGGAAGACUUUGUCACACUUCUCAUUGGUGAUCAUAUUAAUUUCUAGGCCAUGUGUAUCUAGAUAUGAAAUAAUAUUUCUGUUAUUUUAAAAUAUAAGAUCCUUGGAAGAUGUCAUCUAUUGGAACAUGUAACUAUAUAGCCAGAAGAGGAGAUCACUAGAGCCAGACUGCUCUGUCUACAUACUUAAAAAGACAUUUGGAGGAAGAGAGCAUCUGCAAAUGUUGAUGAAAAUGGGUUUGGAACUUCUCUUUUGAUCAGGAAAUAGGUAGACCAUAAAAUGUCUGAUGCAUGUUGCUGCCUGAAGCAAACCCACAAUCUGGAACCCAGUCAUCUUGUUGCUCUAGAAAGCAUCAAGAGAAAAUGGAAGAAGGCUUAAAAGGCCCAUCACAUUUUAAUCUCUAUGGUUGGAUUAAUCAAAAGUUUUCAUAGUUUUACUAAAGAAAAAUGAGUGGUCAUUUAUACUUCAUCUCUAACAAGAAACUUUUUUGUCCAGUGCUCAAAAAUACAUAUGCUAUUAUGCUAUAGUUUCCUUAUGACUUGUUUUGUUUUCUAUAGUUGAUUGUGAGCCUCCAAAGGGCAUGGAGCUAUAUGGUAUGAUUCUUUGCUCCUCAGGCAUUUUCUUGCUCAGGAGACAUACCUAACAUGUUUUUACUUAAUGAUAAAGGUGGUAUGAAUGCAUCAUCAAUAACAGAAGCUUAGAGCUAGAAGUAAAUGUUUAAUCAUUUACUUUUGCUUGUUUUUCUUUUCCUUUUUUUUUUGCAUUGUCUACUUUAAGACCCACAUAUUACAAAUAAGAAGCAUUAAAAGUCGUUAGUGUCAAGAUCGGGGACAUGAAUUAGGUCUCUUGAUUCUAAAGAUGAUUACAGUAAUAACAGAAAAGGCUUUCUCAUCAAGCAGUGUAACUCAGUGGAACAAGCUUCAGAUUGAGCAGUGGCAAUGUGGUUUCGUGGACAGGCACUGGCUGGGAGCUUGGAUCUCAUUAUUGUGGGUUCAUCUCAGUCAUGUGUUGACCUGAGGUGCAGGUGGCUCUAUUGGGAGUCAGCCAGCUGUGGAUGGUAACCACACAUGACCAAAAUGAGUCUUCAGAAGCUAUCACUUGAACACAGCAACGACACUGGGCACUACUAAGAAGGAGGGAGGAAGUGGACCAAGGGCUGAAAAACUAACUAUUGGGUCCUAUGCUUAGUUCCUG
This 1839-nucleotide long non-coding RNA is filed under the name Homo sapiens (human). RNAcentral describes it as "HSALNT0332400". The record is from RNAcentral. Lineage: Eukaryota; Metazoa; Chordata; Mammalia; Primates; Hominidae.